Molecule: ribosomal RNA, 397 nt
Filed under: uncultured bacterium
Lineage: Bacteria
Description: bacterial SSU rRNA
Rfam family: Bacterial small subunit ribosomal RNA
Source: RNAcentral
UGAGGAAUAUUGCACAAUGGGCGAAAGCCUGAUGCAGCAACGCCGCGUGAGGGACGAAGGCCUUCGGGUCGUAAACCUCUUUUCUGGGGGACGAGUAAGGACGGUACUCCAGGAAUAAGUCUCGGCUAACUACGUGCCAGCAGCCGCGGUAAAACGUAGGAGGCGAGCGUUAUCCGGAUUUACUGGGCGUAAAGCGUACGCAGGUGGCUUCGUUAGUCGGACAUGAAAGCUCCUGGCUUAACUGGGAGAGGUUGUUCGAUACUGCGGGGCUUGAGGUUGGGAGAGGGACGUGGAAUUCCCGGUGUAGUGGUGGAAUGCGUAGAUAUCGGGAGGAACACCAAUGGCGGAAGCGGCGUCCUGGGCCACACCUGACGCUUAAGUACGAAAGCGUGGGUAG